Molecule: non-coding RNA, 630 nt
Organism: Linepithema humile (Argentine ant)
Lineage: Eukaryota; Metazoa; Arthropoda; Insecta; Hymenoptera; Formicidae
Source: RefSeq, a predicted model, not a curated record
AAUCGAAAACGCUAAAAAUGACAUAACUGCAUAUGCAUAGCAUAAGACCGUCUCGACCAAUGAACAUCUAGCAUAAAGGCGCCAUAUUGAUUUACAUAGCAUGCUCAUUGGUCGAGACGGUCUUCUGCUAUGCAUAUGCAGUUAUUGACCGUAUGGCGGGACGUUUUGACAUGAGGAGGUUAGGUGACUACAAAUAAGCGGGGUAACGGUGCCUUGUUUAACUCGUAUAAGACACCGUACCGACGCCGUAUUGCCGCACAUGCGAAUACAACCGGUCCCAUAUUGGAAUACUGAGGUCCAUGCUCUGCUCCAUAUAUUCUUACAUUCAUGGCCAAGACUCAAACCAUUUAAAUCAAGAUUCGAACCAUUUUUAGUUAAGACGCAAACCAUUUAGUUUGCAUCUUAAACCUGGCGUCACUGUGUAAAUCGUGUAAACACCGCCAAGAAGUUUGUGUCUACAAUCAUCUACAAUUGCAUAACUGUUACAUUUUUGUGAAUAUAUUUAAUAUUGUAGAAAACGUGUUCGUCUACAGAAUAUAACCUGGAGAUUACUGUUAUCUACAGUUAUAUUAGUGAUAUUUGUUAAAGUUUAUAACACAGCUCAAAUAGUAUUAAAAUAUUCAAGUUUUA